AUUGAACGCUGGCGGCAUGCCUUACACAUGCAAGUCGAACGGUAACGCGGGGCGAACCUGGCGACGAGUGGCGAACGGGUGAGUAAUGCAUCGGAACGUGCCCAGUAGUGGGGGAGUAGCCCGGCGAAAGCCGGAUUAAUACCGCAUACGACCUACGGGUGAAAGGGGGGGAGUCGCAAGACCUCUCGCUAUUGGAGCGGCCGAUGUCAGAUUAGGUAGUUGGUGGGGUAAAGGCUCACCAAGCCGACGAUCUGUAGCUGGUCUGAGAGGACGACCAGCCACACUGGGACUGAGACACGGCCCAGACUCCUACGUGAGGCAGCAGUGGGGAAUUUUGGACAAUGGGCGCAAGCCUGAUCCAGCCAUGCCGCGUGCGGGAAGAAGGCCUUCGGGUUGUAAACCGCUUUUGUCAGGGAAGAAAUCUUUUGAGUUAAUACCUCGAGAGGAUGACGGUACCUGAAGAAUAAGCACCGGCUAACUACGUG
RNAcentral lists this ribosomal RNA (485 nucleotides) under uncultured bacterium. RNAcentral describes it as "bacterial SSU rRNA". It matches the Rfam family "Bacterial small subunit ribosomal RNA", at positions 30 to 507 of the family's 1533-position model. The record is from RNAcentral.